CUUACACGGGAUAGUGGACUUCCUUACACGAGAUAGUGUAGCAGUCGAUCGAAUUUCUACAAAUUCGAUUUCUAGGAUCUACAACUCCUGCACGCAAGCCACGUGGAGUAACCUAUUUUUUUUCUUGUAAACCAAUGCGCGUUAAAGCAAUUCCACCCGUAAUAACAUAAAUGAAAAAAGAAAAUUAAGAUUUUACCUGAUAAUUUGAGAAAAUAGGUUUUAAAGGAAAUUCAAAAUAAAGAUUGGGCGUCGAUGAUGAUGUGCAAAAUCCCUGAGAAAGUGUGUUGCUCACUGAUUCAGACCAACAAUGAUUGCACUGCAUGUUUCAUCAGACAACCUUAAAAAUUCAAUUGCAUGGGAGAGCAACGGAACAGUAGAGCAAAAGGCAGUGUAUGUGAGAGGGCAGAGGAUUUACAAGUACAACAGCAACAUCAGAGAUUCCAGAAGCUCCGGUUUCGAGCUCUGAGCAAAGGUCUAGUCCUAGGUUCAAGGCUACAUUUGGGGAGGAUGGACAUUUUGGAUUGUGGCAUGUAUAUAAUUGUUGGAUUCAGCUUCAAGUCUUCUGAUUUGGGUUUUCGACACUUCAUGUUUCCGAGAUGCCAAUCUCAAGUUAUGAUGUUAUCUUUGGACAAAGGGUUGAUUACUGAGUGGUGAAAAAAGGGAUGUUUCGGGAGAAAGGCUAUUCUAUUCUUGUUGGGGGUGGCUGUGUAAAAGCAGUAGCUGAUAGAUUUGAGGACAUAAAUCUUUACAUCUCAACGAGGGUGUGGCUCUUUGAUUUUAGUGGCAAGAUUUAUGUAGGGCACUUUUGCAUUCAAAGGCAUUUCAGUUGCAGUCUGUUGCUAGUUUGGCUAGGGUUUUGCUUGUUAAAUAUUAUGAGCAAAUCUGGUCUUGAUUCUUGCAUUCUGAAGUGAUCUUCUCUCUCUACAUGCCCACUUUUUGUGUUUCUAGGGUUUUAAAUUUUUAUCAACUAGUAGCCUACUCUUCUUUCAUUUUUACUAAUUACUCUUCAUCAUUCAGUGGAUGCAAAUGCUAGGUGCAUUCUUUUCACAUUACUAAAUUAUUUCUAUUUGUGUGAUUUUCCUUGCAUUGUAUCCCAUUGAAAAAAAGUACUUAAAAAAUAUUGCCGCUUACAAAUUUUUAGU
Long non-coding RNA from Cryptomeria japonica (Japanese cedar), 1142 nucleotides. RefSeq lists it as uncharacterized. The transcript has 4 exons. NCBI's taxonomy places the organism in Eukaryota, Viridiplantae, Streptophyta, Pinopsida, Cupressales, Cupressaceae. The record is from RefSeq and is a predicted model, not a curated record.